This 468-nucleotide ribosomal RNA is filed under the name uncultured bacterium. RNAcentral describes it as "partial 16S ribosomal RNA". It matches the Rfam family "Bacterial small subunit ribosomal RNA", at positions 28 to 507 of the family's 1533-position model. The record is from RNAcentral.
GACGAACGCUGGCGGCGUGCUUAACACAUGCAAGUCGAACGGAAAGGCCCUGCUUUUGUUGGGUGCUCGAGUGGCGAAGGGGUGAGAAACACGUGAGUAACCUCCCCUUUACUUUGGGAUAACUUCAGGAAACUGGGGCUAAUACCGGAUAGGAGCUCCUGCUGCAUGGUGGUGGUUGGAAAGUUUCGGCGGUUGGGGAUGGACUCGCGGGUUAUCAGCUUGUUGGUGGGGUAGUGGCUUACCAGGGCUUCGACGGGUAGCCGGCAUGGGAGGGGGACCGGCCACAAUGGGCCUAAGAGACGCAGCAGACUCGUACGGGAGGCAGCAGUGGGGAGUAUUGCACAAUGGGCGGAAGCCUGAUGCAGAAGCGCCGCGUGCGGGAUGACGGCCUUCGGGUUGUGAACCGCUUUCGCCUGUGACGAAGCGUGAGUGACGGUACUGGGUAAAGAAGCACCGGCUAACUACGUG